UACGUAGGAGGCAAGCGUUGUCCGGAUUUACUGGGCGUAAAGAGCGUGUAGGCGGCAUGGUAAGUCUGCUGUGAAAGCUCCGCGCUUAACGCGGAGAGGUCGGUGGAAACUGCCAGGCUAGAGGACGGUAGAGGGGGGUGGAAUUCCCGGUGUAGUGGUGAAAUGCGUAGAUAUCGGGAGGAACACCAGUGGCGAAGGCGGCCCCCUGGGCCGCUCCUGACGCUGAGACGCGAAGGCCAGGGUAGCGAACGGG
RNAcentral lists this ribosomal RNA (253 nucleotides) under uncultured bacterium. RNAcentral's name for it is "partial 16S ribosomal RNA". It matches the Rfam family "Bacterial small subunit ribosomal RNA", at positions 524 to 776 of the family's 1533-position model. The record is from RNAcentral.